GAUGAAGAACGUAGCGAAAUGCGACAAGUAAUGUGAAUUGCAGAAUUCAGUGAAUCAUCGAAUCUUUGAACGCACAUUGCGCCCGCCAGUAUUCUGGCGGGCAUGCCUGUUCGAGCGUCAUUUCAACCAUCAAGCCCCCGGGCUUGUGUUGGGGACCUGCGGCUGCCGCAGGCCCUGAAAAGCAGUGGCGGGCUCGCUGUCACACCGAGCGUAGUAGAUUUUAUCUCGCUCUGGGCGUGCUGCGGGUUCCGGCCGUUAAACCACCCUUUUAACCCAAGGUUGACCUCGGAUCAGGUAGGAAGACCCGCUGAACUUAAGCAUAUCAAUAAGCGGAGGA
Molecule: unclassified non-coding RNA, 337 nt
Filed under: soil metagenome
Description: partial contains 5.8S ribosomal RNA, internal transcribed spacer 2, and large subunit ribosomal RNA
Rfam family: 5.8S ribosomal RNA (bases 1-120)
Source: RNAcentral